UUUUAUCGGGUUGCUUUUUGCGUACGCGUUAUUAGACGACAGACGCAGACGCGGCUGGGUGCGAAACAGAAGGAGGGGUUAGAGGUUUGAGAGAGAUCAGGGGUGGUGUUGGGGAGGGGUACCGCUGCCGGCGGCGGCGUUUCGGCCGCCGCUCCUGCUGCCACUUGCACCGGUCCCGGCACAUGGCGCACGUCGACCGGGAGGAGCUGCCGCGCCGCCGGAGGUUGCUCGGGGAUGAGGUGCGCCGGCGGCGCCAGGAGAGGGCGCGGCUGAUGCUGCUGCAGCAGUGGCUCGCGAGGUAGCGGCUCCGCACGCCGGUGGGGCGCACGUGGUCGAGGGAGGGGCUGGGGCGGUUGGGGUUCCGCCGCGGCGCCAAGGUGUAGAGGGAGGCGCUCGUGGCGCAGAUGCUGGAGCUCCUCCGGGCGUUCAAGACGAGGCUCGCGACGGAGCAACGGAGGCGCCGGAAGCGCCGCAGCGAGGGCGGGCUGGCGGGGAAGCCCUAGGGCGGGUUGUCCGACCUGCGGGACCAGCGCGAGAAGCUUUCGUCGCCCCUGCCCGGCCCCGAUCCCAAAGCACGCCUGUCGCCCUUCUUCCUCCUGCUUCCCUCCUUCCACCUCUAACACCUCUUCCUCUGCGGACCCGGACCCCUCCACUGCGACGUCCUCACCUAACCCGGCAGCCCGCGGUAACUCCCGAUACACGGGGCGGUAGUGGGGUAAGUACUUCCGUGUAAUGACCGGUUACGGUGUCCGAUUUGUCCCGUUUCGAUCAUCUCGACUCGACAGACCCUUAUUCUUACACCUAAGACCCCGACGACAAGAACCGCUUGUAUCGUACCUUCAAAGUAGAAGAAGUCAACUUCGUGUUCACCCGAGACUUCUAUAUCGAUUUUUUUAACUACCGUACCAGGAAGUACUCUUGUGUUUUUACUUCUUUUUUCUGCGUCUAUUUUGGGAUAGUUUCUAAAAGGUUGUCCUACUUCUAUGUCUAUACAAUAACGGAACGUAUUGACUAAGGUAACGCUUCGUUGAUCUCGUACAUUAAAACCUUCUCUCUUCACUGUUCUUCUUUUUCUUUAGUUGAUCUCGUAGUAGUUCCCGUACGUUCUCAUUCGGAUGUUCUUUUGGACGACCUUCAUUACCGGUACUUCAUCCGAAAUGAUCAUGUUAGUAAUACCCCCUAGGACGAAGCCAUUUCUACCUAGUUCCCCGAAACCCAGUUAUACUGAAACGUUCAAGGUAGGAGUAUCUAUUAGUCGGGAGUAGUAGAGUUAUGUGUCAUUCUCUAAGUUACGUAUGAAUGUGACUUGUUGAUGUGUUUCUUAAGUCAUUUCGUCACCUGGAACUUUUUUUACUCUGUUCACUGCUCUUUCAAUCACGACGUGAUUUUAGAAGUGACUUCCGACAUCCCAGAUUCUUGUCUUCAGUCAGACACUGUACCCGUCUACUAUUACCCUCGUAGAAUCUUCGUUCGUUUCGUAUACUGUAGCUAAGUCUACGAUUUUUAGAUAGAUACCUCCUGUAACUGUCAAGUGAUUCCGCACUUAGGCGUCUCCGAACGCGUCGACGGGAAUAACUUCGACGUCCUCGAUAAAGAAGUCCGUGUAGUCUUCACCUUCUACGUCAAAGGUUCCGUCCCUAGUAGUAUAACGGACUGUACGAAGUGGUCUUUGUCAAGUUCUUACAGGUACCGCUUCUAUGUCACCUUUUCCAUCAUAGACUUUGUCUACCACUACAACACUUCACCGGUUGUUUCUGACACGAAGACCUGUGACUGUACAAACUUCAGCUACUAAGAACCGUGCUGUGUGGUGGUCUUCCAAAGUCAAAUUGUGACAGACGAAAACGUUGUUACACCUGGUGUUAUAAACCUACCUAUAGGGCCAGUAGAAACCGGAUACAUAUGUACGAACUACUGUCAAGACACCUUCUUUACAACUAAAGAUUUCCCUCUCUCAUAGGACUCUUCGCUCAAAGCUUUCUAUCGGUUAGUAGACUUUAAUUUUCUCGAAAUCGAAGAACGUAAAGAUUACGUGACGGCCAUGAACAUAGUUUGUACUCCUACGUAUGGGGUCAAAGUUUCAACCUCUGAUGAGACCCUAUGAACUAACUGUGUUACAGUGAACAACUGCGUGACGGACGAGACUCUAGUUCCGUUACCGUCGACGACCAAGAACAAGACGAGCUACGUGAGAGACACGUGGCCGAAGGACGAGAACGAGGUCACUAGAGUCUGAGUUUCGAACACGUCUUCUAGGAUUUGAGCCGAGUCCAAUCGUCUCUCCUCAUGCUGAGGUACCAGCUGGAGUAGGAGGGAAAACCUUCUAGACCGCUCUGCGUGUACAGUUCAAUUGGGCACCUUCUUCAAGUAGUAUCAUAGUCCGCCUUGUCAUUGUUAGGAGAUGGUCCUAAGCCUAUAUAUACGGGUGAGUCGGCUCAUCUAUCUUCAGCAGGGUAUAGUCGUAGUCGUCGUACUGUAUGCUGAGUUUAUGGCGGUGUCACUGUCGGGGGUAAACCGAGCGAUAGAUCUUGUAGUGUUUAGAACGACGAAAUGGUAACGAAGAACAUACAAAGAGAGCGCAACGACAGUCGAUACAACGCCCGCGUCCCGUCCGAACAAAGUACAGCGUGAGCACCUAAAGUGGAAAUCGGGCCUCCUCUCUCUCGUUUUCUAUUGACGGUGCUCUCGACACCUAUCGUCGCAGUGUAGCAUCACAUAGUAUAGUGGUGCCUGAGCGCAAGAGUGAGUAGCAUCACGCAGACAUCGACAACAAUGGACGUUGGUAAACUGAGAACACCCAACCGCCGGACCGGGUAGGCACACAGUGGACUGACCGGCUCACGACCCCGUCCCAAGGACGUCCGGUCACUGACCAGCUACGGCUGCCGCCUGGCGGCAGCGACAUACCGAGUUAUGUAAACACGUAAACGGAA
RNAcentral lists this ribosomal RNA (2933 nucleotides) under Triticum aestivum (bread wheat). RNAcentral describes it as "partial small subunit ribosomal RNA". Lineage: Eukaryota; Viridiplantae; Streptophyta; Magnoliopsida; Poales; Poaceae. The record is from RNAcentral.